Molecule: unclassified non-coding RNA, 200 nt
Filed under: plant metagenome
Description: partial contains small subunit ribosomal RNA and internal transcribed spacer 1
Rfam family: Eukaryotic small subunit ribosomal RNA (bases 1-46)
Source: RNAcentral
AAGUCGUAACAAGGUCUCCGUAGGUGAACCUGCGGAGGGAUCAUUACCGAGUGAGGGUGCUCCGGCGCCCGAUCUUCCAACCCUUUGAUUGACCGACUGAUGUUGCCUCGGGGGCGACCCGGCCUCGCGGCCGAGGGCCCCCGCCGGACACAAUCAAAACACUGCAUCUCUGCGUCAGAGUAAAAGCAAAUGAAACAAAA